RNAcentral lists this ribosomal RNA (402 nucleotides) under Fusobacteriota bacterium. Its description in RNAcentral is "Fusobacteria bacterium partial 16S ribosomal RNA". It matches the Rfam family "Bacterial small subunit ribosomal RNA", at positions 355 to 776 of the family's 1533-position model. The record is from RNAcentral. Lineage: Bacteria; Fusobacteriati; Fusobacteriota.
UGGGGAAUUUUGCACAAUGGGGGAAACCCUGAUGCAGCGACGCCGCGUGAGUUAGAAGGCCUUCGGGUUGUAAAAAUCUUUUCUAUGGGAAGAAAAUGACAGUACCAUAGGAAUAAGGACCGGCUAAUCACGUGACAGCAGCCGCGGUAAUACGUAAGGUCCGAGCGUUGUCCGGAAUCAUUGGGCGUAAAGGGUACGUAGGCGGGUAAGCAAGUUAGAAGUUAAAUCCUAUAGCUCAACUAUAGUAAGCUUUUAAAACUGCUCAUCUUGAGGUAUGGAAGGGAGAGUGGAAUUCCUAGUGUAGCGGUGAGAUGCGCAGAUAUUAGGAGGAAUACCGGUGGCGAAGGCGACUUUCUGGCCAUAACCUGACGCUGAGGUACGAAAGCGUGGGUAGCAAACAGG